Mya arenaria is the source of this 1841-nucleotide long non-coding RNA. RefSeq lists it as uncharacterized. The transcript has 4 exons. NCBI's taxonomy places the organism in Eukaryota, Metazoa, Mollusca, Bivalvia, Myida, Myidae. The record is from RefSeq and is a predicted model, not a curated record.
UCGUGUUUUUUCUAAAAGAAAAACGAAAGUGAAAAUUUGAUUAAACGUUUUUUUCAUGUUUUAAGGCAAGAACAAAGGAUUAUUUGGUUUGUUUUUAAGCAUGGGAGGGGUCUCAUAGUUUUUUUUAUCACUUUUGAUACGAUAACAACUGGACUAUGAACGUUCUUAGACCAUUUAUAGACUUCGCCAAAAUGUAAACAAAAAUCCAAAAUGGCUGCCGCGAAGUGACGGUGAAACCACAGUUUUCACUUAGUCAGAUUUUUGAUGAUUAAUGCAUGAAACAGUUGCUGACAGCUUCAAACUGCAUGUAUAGCUUGUGUAAAUAUGUGUAAACAUUAAGAAAGAAUACAUUUUAUGUCUAUUUUUUAAAUAUUUGUAAAAAACAUGUUUUCACAAAGUUUGUGUUCGUCCCCAGCUGUAUCGUACCGUUUUGUUCUCAAAUAUGUUUACAGUAUGUAAUAAAGACGUGUUUAUAUAAAAUAAAGCCCGAGAAAAAUGCCAGAUUUAGGUUAUAACAGUUGUUUUCUAACUGAAACGUGAUAUUAGGUUCAUCUUCAAGUGUUGGCUUCAUCGCACCUGUCAUGAGCAGCUUUUGGUCGUGGUGGUACACUUAAAAGUUGGACCCAGCAAUUUAAACUGGUAUGCCAGAGAUGUGUUAACUGAGUAUGUUGUAUAGGCUAUAAGGGCGUCAAUGAUUGUAUGUUUGAUAAGGUGUUGUUGAUUUGUUGUUGAUUUAUUUAUUUUCCUUUCUUAUUAUUUUAAACCCGGGAGGAACUGUAGAGAACCAGCCAGACAGCCCGUCCGCCGAGAUGCCAUCCCGACGGAGCUGUACUUUGUGUAUGCCAACAUGCUGUAAUUUGUUAGUACUUCAAGAUCAUAGAAUGGAAAAUUGUAUCCAAACUGAAGUAUAAACCAGCCUGGUUGCUGUAGCCACAGUGGAAUUUUCAAGGACAAGAACCAGUGCUGGUAAAAAUGUGGUUUGUGUGGUUUUCCAAACCGGCUCUCAGCAAGGAUCUCCGAGAAAGGAUUAUCGUCUCCAAAUCAUGAUGUGCCAAUAAGCUCCAGCUAGCUGCGCCUUUUUCCUCCCAGCGGUAGUCCUGCAAUCUGAAUCCAGGAGAUGCAGCUCUGAAUCCAAUAUUUCAGAAGAAUGAAGAUAAAACUGAAGCUUUCAUGUAAACACCACCAUGGUAUUGAUUUACUCAGCUUUGAUGUACUCGGCUGUGAUGUAACAUGCCUUCAAGCCACUAUCCUGAAGAACAUUCAGACGUUCUAAAUGGACCAUUGCCCUGUUGCCUUGGAAAUCAUUAUGAGGAGGAGCACACAAACUGUCACUUGUUUUGAAUUUGAGAUGUACCACAAACUGACCAUAAACUUUUCGGAUGCUUUGUUUAUUUCAUCUGCCAAUUUCGAUGUAUGUUUUACUGAAUAACGACAAACAGUCUUACUCAUAAGCAUCUCUUAAUCAUUUGUAUUCCACAACUAAACAUGCUUGCAAUUACACUGUGCCAGCUUUCAUAAUAUAGCAAUGCUGCAAUGACCAUAUUUUUUGUACCAGUUGUUGCUUUAUACUGAAACUUUUAUUGAAAAUGGUGCAUAAACACUGAUAACACAUAAAUGUUUCAUUCAUACAUUUGUACAUGUUCUUUCAGUGUAUAUGUUGAUAAUGUUAAUACAUAUUUGAUGUGCAGUUACACAUGUAUUUAUUGCCAACCUCAUCGAAACAUGCAUAUUUCCAACACAGACAUUUACUGAAUGUAUUACUACUUUAGGUUGAUUUUGAUAUGUAAAUAAAACAUUGUACUACUUGUUUGUACAAAACACUUUUCAUUUGCUAUGCUGUU